RNAcentral lists this long non-coding RNA (316 nucleotides) under Phascolarctos cinereus (koala). Its description in RNAcentral is "lncRNA (ENSPCIG00000034704.1)". The record is from RNAcentral. Lineage: Eukaryota; Metazoa; Chordata; Mammalia; Diprotodontia; Phascolarctidae.
CUGCCAGUUACUAGGGAAACGGGCAGGGAGGCAGCUGGGUCAGGCUGGGAGGGUGGCAAUCGGCAGAAGUCGACAUUUCAGCCCUCUCCAUGUGCCUCAAACCCCCUCCCCUGCUAGACGAAGCCUCUGGGACCUUAGAGAUGAGGUCUGGGGGGCUUUCUUAAUUUGCUUCCAACCUGGCCCCUGCAGUCACAAUCCAGAGGGACAACACUUGGAAAGAAGGGCUCCAUGACCUUCAACACUAUGAACACCAACCUCUAACCAGCUACCACUAAUAGGCCAGUAAUCCGGCCCAGCUUAAAGCAGCAAGAUAAGA